Molecule: long non-coding RNA, 1743 nt
Organism: Seriola aureovittata
Lineage: Eukaryota; Metazoa; Chordata; Actinopteri; Carangiformes; Carangidae
Exons: 3
Source: RefSeq, a predicted model, not a curated record
UUCCUCUUGGUGUUGAAGAAGUAACCUGUCCCUGCAGCGCUGACCAUCUGCACCAGGAUGGUCCUGAAGGAAGAAAACAGUGGUGAAGCCUGAGUGGGAGUGGACAAACCUUCUGCUCCCUGAGAGGACUGAGUGGGCUGCCGCCAUCCGCUGUGUGCGCACCAGAGAUGGAGGCAGAGAUGGAGGCUUCCGGUCGCUAGGCAACCUCAGCAAUUAUGCCACUGCCAAGAGAGGGAAGAGAGGAAGUAGCACCCCGGGGCCCCCUGCCUCUGUUCAUCUUGGCCGCGGCUGGUCCGGUUUCAUCCUUCAUCUAAGUGUAGUGCUUCCAUACGAAGCCAGUGACGAGAGCCGCUGGAGCAUGCUGUGAUUCCUACUGCUCUCAUUGAAUCAGCUCUCUUCCCUGUGUUAUCAAGAUACAGUAGUCUGGUCAGGACAUGUCAUUGGUUGAACUAAAACACUCUGCUGCCCCCUGUUGUUCUCUACUGUUAAGUUUAUUAUACUGACUGUAAAACCUCUGUCCAUUGCACUUGUUACUCCAGCACAUUAACCUGCCAGAUUAAGAUUUUACAUAAAAACACAUGAUCAGUUUAUAAAAUAUAAAGGGCUGUCAACCUUUUGGAAUAUAUUACCAACUGAAAUCAGAUUAAUUCUAGAUAUGAAUUCUUUCACAACAAAGAUUAAGUGCUGGCCACCAGCAAACCAGAACUGUACCCAUUUCUAGCCAAUUUUAUUGUAUUGUUAAUUGUUUUGUUUGUCUGUUUGUCUGCUUAUUUGCUAUUUUAAUUACACUGUACAUGUAAAGCCCAACUCUUCUGAAACACAAGAAUUACCAGCAGGGCUUUAGAUCAAACCUUUGCCCAUCUUAAACUAGAUUCAGAUUCGUGUCAUUGCUAUAAAAGAAAUACAGCAAGCAGGACGGCCAUGGGAAUCUUAAAGGUAAUCAGUACUGGGAGCCAGUGUAAGGAGAUUAAAACUGGGUCGAUGCUGUCACAACUCCUCCUUGAGGUAAAAAGCCUGGCAGCUUUAGCAUAUGCUUAUGUAUGAGUAUUUAUCUGUAAUUAUUAGAAACUUCUCAUCUACAAUCAUUCUUCUUGCUUUAACUCUUCAACAGACUGCUGGUGUGUUCCAGUCAUGACAAUCUCAAAACUGUGUACAAACACACUAUCCUGGGAUAACUGUGAGCUGUUGGGUUUGAACAUUUCACAGCAUAAAGCUUCAAUGAGCUAAUACAUGCUGAAACAAAAUAUACACUGUGUGAUACUGUCAGCAGUGGUGAAAGAGGUGUUCACAUACUUCAUUUAGGUAGCACGUUACACACUAUAACGAUACUGUAUUACAAGUAAAAAGUCCCUUUGCUCAAGUAAAAGUACAUAAACCUUAUCAGUUACAAGGUAUCAAAAGUAAAUGUACUCAUUAUGCAAAAUGAAAGAAUAUUUUUAUUAUACAUGUUCUAUUAUUGGCAGUGAUGAAAUGAGUAAAUGUAAAUGUAAAUCCUGAUAUGCCAAGUAAUUAGAGACUAUAGCUUAGCUGACAGGUAAAUGUGGUGGAGUAAAAAAUACAAUAUUUCCCUCUCAUAUGUAGUGUAUGAGAAUAAAAAUAUGAAGUAGCAUAAAAAUGACAAAUUAAAUACUUAGUAGAACUGCCAGACAGUGAUAGACAGAGUUUUAUAUUCUAAAGAAAUCAUAGUUUUUCAUUUUAUUGCCCAGAACUUUUCACUGAAUAAAUUCUAUGUAACUUUUUGUC